GUCUACAGCCAUGCUAUCCUGAACAAGCUCGAUCCUGUCUGAUCUCGGAAGCUAAGCAGGGCCGGGCCGGGUCAGUACUUGGAUGGGUAGACCACCUAGGAAGGCCAGGUAUUGUAGGCA
RNAcentral lists this ribosomal RNA (120 nucleotides) under Pteropus alecto (black flying fox). Lineage: Eukaryota; Metazoa; Chordata; Mammalia; Chiroptera; Pteropodidae. The record is from RNAcentral.